AGGAGCCGUGCGAGAUGAAAGUCUCAUUCACGGUUUUGAAUGAGAGAAAGAAGUGAGGAAUCCUCUUUUCGACUCUGAC
This is a non-coding RNA of Gossypium raimondii (Peruvian cotton), 79 nucleotides long. NCBI's taxonomy places the organism in Eukaryota, Viridiplantae, Streptophyta, Magnoliopsida, Malvales, Malvaceae. The record is from Rfam.